GGGGAUGUAGCUCAGUGGCAGAGUGCCUGCUCCUCAUGCAUGAGGCCCUGAGUUCAAUCCCCAGCAUUACAA
Molecule: transfer RNA, 72 nt
Filed under: Ictidomys tridecemlineatus (thirteen-lined ground squirrel)
Lineage: Eukaryota; Metazoa; Chordata; Mammalia; Rodentia; Sciuridae
Also listed under: 1 other name
Description: Spermophilus tridecemlineatus (thirteen-lined ground squirrel) tRNA
Rfam family: tRNA
About the family: Transfer RNA (tRNA) molecules are approximately 80 nucleotides in length. Their secondary structure includes four short double-helical elements and three loops (D, anti-codon, and T loops).
Source: Rfam by way of RNAcentral